This is a long non-coding RNA of Zalophus californianus (California sea lion), 479 nucleotides long. RefSeq lists it as uncharacterized. Lineage: Eukaryota; Metazoa; Chordata; Mammalia; Carnivora; Otariidae. The transcript is spliced from 3 exons. The record is from RefSeq and is a predicted model, not a curated record.
UUGAGGUCUGCUCGUCAGAGGAGCGGGGCAUAAUCUUCCAGACUAUAGGGGUUCUGUCUGGCUGAGGGCAAUUCUCCAGGGAAGGCAGUAGCUAAGAAUUUUAAACAGCCUGCGGAACGGCUGAGGGACAAGAACACCUGCCACUUUAUAAAGGGGAUCUGAGUGGGGCACCAAUAGCAUCCGAUGGCUACAUACGUAGGCAUAAAUUGGGGAGAGAUGGAAGUGGAGAAGAGUUUGAGGCAGUUCCUGGUGGUAUGGAGGACAAAGUGAAAACAGUUGAAAAGGAUUUUUGAAGACAGAAAAUAGUUGAAAAGCCUGUAUGUGCCGGGGCCCUGGACCACAGUAGGAAGUAACCAAGUAUGGCUGCCGUCGGUCAACUGAAAAGUCCUGUGCCUGUUGCUGUGGACAAUGAAUUUUGUUUGAAUCGAGGAAGACUCGGCCCAGGCUGGCACUUUACGUUCAAUAAAAAUAUUAACAGU